ACAUGUCUGAACCUGUUUCCUUGUUUCUUCUGGUGGUUACCCACUUUCUUCUCCCCCGGUUCAGGGAAAGUGGGGAAAAAAGGUUUGCCUUUGCCCAGCAGCACUGCAGGUGUCUGUCCCUCUGAAAGAGUCCCAGUGGUGUGGGCGUGCUGGAAAGAAAAAUCCCCAGUGACUUCACCCAGCUUGGCUUGUGGUGGUUACUCACAAUGAGGUUCUUGUCCUCAUUUCUCUCCAGCCUUUCCACUGUUAUUACAGCUCUGGUAUCCUACAGCAAGUAAGAACAUAACAUUACAACUGUUCACACGUGGGAGAUGGAGGAACUGCAUUAAGAGCCCAUCAGAUAGGAAGACUUGGUGUGAGAACCAUAUGGAAGGGAAGAAGACCCAAGAUGCAAGUUUAUGGAUUGCAAGACAGGAGGCCAAACACCGAAACAGCAUCUAACAGAAUGGCCAUGAUUGCAUGUGGAGCUGCUUCAGAAUGAAGCUCAUGAUCUUGGACCUCUUUUCUGAAUAUAUGUAUGAAGAUGCUUCAUAAAACAAAUCAUAGAGGACUUCUUACAGUGUAUGGAAUUGCACAAGGAUAAGAUGUAAUUUAACUAUGCAUGUGUACCAGGAUUUGCAUGAUUAAUUUUUACUGCAGUUAAAUCUGAUGGUAAAGCUAACCUGUGGAUCAAACAAUAAUUGCAAUAAGGGGGGAAAUUCAUGCUGUGUUUUUGCUACCUUGUCCUGCAAUAAGAUAAAAUAUCAAAUGGACAAUAUUUGCAAAGUUACUGUCACUUCUCAUCGGUCUAUUAUAUUUUGAUUAUAAACCUAAGAAAUUUAAACUUGAGGUAACAAUUUUUUGGCAUUAAAAACUUGGUGUUUACUUCUCAGUAAUUGAUCCAGAAUAAAGUAUAAUUUUUAAAUGCUAGAGAAUUAGAGCAGUUUUUCAGAAUGUGUGAAUUCAUUAACUUCUGUUUUGGAAGCACUUGUCAGAAUCACUGUUUUUUUACACAAUCAGUUGCUACAUAAAGGCAAAACAGGUUCUAAAAAUUAGCCUAGUUGUUACCUUGCAAGAAUUGUUACAGCUGGUUAUCUUUCUGCCCACACUAUGAACUUCAGUAUCCUACUUUUCACACAAGUAUUUUAUAUAAAUUUUCAGACAAUGGGUGCAAUGAUUCAAGGCUUGCUGCCUUUAUUUGAAAGUUAAUUUGGAUGAAAGUAAGGUUUGCAUUUAAAGUACAAAAGCUUUUCCUGUAUAAGUGCAUGUGUGGACAGUUCUAAUUCAGGAAUCAAAAUGUCUUCUGGUUUCACUUAAUCUACUUUUAAUAGUAGUGUUUAGCUUAAUCCUUCAUUGAAUUGGAGCGGGUCUACAUACCAGUCCACCUCUAAAUUAUGUUGGAAAGGGAGUAGCUUUUCUGAAUAACUACUAUUAAUUUUAGAAAUAUUUUUGCAACUAUUUAGGUCUAAGUUUGAUCUCGGCAUGCAUUGACAUGUACUGCAGCCUUUCAAAUCUCAAGUCUAAAUUUUUCAACUCAUCAAAUAACAGGCUGCAAUUUAAAUGCUCAGAAAACUGGGCUCUAAAACAGAAUUGAAGUAGUAUUGAGUAUUUGUGACUAACGUGUAACUUAGAUUUGUGGCUUUUACCAGUCUCAAGCUACAAUUGGUUCUCUGUUGCUUAUGGGUAUAGUAAUAGCAGCAUUUAACCAAAAAAGAGGCAGUGAUGAUGGUCAUUAAUUGAACAAAUUGAACUAUUGAUUGUUUCGAUAGAGGAAAUAAAGGCAUAUGCACAAAUCCCAUCAACCACUUACAUGGUGCUAUGACUUAGGAAUAAUUCCUUGUGUAAAGACUUAAGGCUGUCAGCUCUAAGGAGCAAGUCUUGUUAUCUCCAAGUGUCUGAACUGUGCUUAAUCAACUAGAAAUGUUAUAUGAUUGAGAACUUUAAACAUAAUUGUAAAACAUUAUAAAAACAUCUUUUUGGCAUUUACAUCAGUAGAUUCUGAGCGUUAAAAAUAAAAUCUUUGCGUUUAGUCUUUUGGGGAACUCAAGUAAUUAUUUUUUCAUUCUUUAUUUAUUUUUAAAUGAUCAUUUAAGCUUCUUAUGCAGUUUUUAGAAAGGCUGAUGUGCAUACCUGGGUUACUCUGAAGGUCAAAUACUCUGCAUAUUGAACAUUUCAAGCUGCUGUCCUGCUUAAGUU
Non-coding RNA from Sturnus vulgaris (Common starling), 2175 nucleotides. Lineage: Eukaryota; Metazoa; Chordata; Aves; Passeriformes; Sturnidae. The record is from RefSeq and is a predicted model, not a curated record.